AUUGAACGCUGGCGGCAUGCCUUACACAUGCAAGUCGAACGGCAGCGGACCUUCGGGUGCCGGCGAGUGGCGAACGGGUGAGUAAUAUAUCGGAACGUACCUUUCAGUGGGGGAUAACGUAGCGAAAGUUACGCUAAUACCGCAUAUUCUGUGAGCAGGAAAGCAGGGGAUCGCAAGACCUUGCGCUGAUUGAGCGGCCGAUAUCAGAUUAGCUAGUUGGUGAGGUAAAGGCUCACCAAGGCGACGAUCUGUAGCGGGUCCGAGAGGAUGAUCCGCCACACUGGAACUGAGACACGGUCCAGACUCCUACGGGAGGCAGCAGUGGGGAAUUUUGGACAAUGGGCGCAAGCCUGAUCCAGCCAUGCCGCGUGAGUGAAGAAGGCC
This 384-nucleotide ribosomal RNA is filed under the name uncultured bacterium. Its description in RNAcentral is "bacterial SSU rRNA". It matches the Rfam family "Bacterial small subunit ribosomal RNA", at positions 30 to 416 of the family's 1533-position model. The record is from RNAcentral.